Long non-coding RNA from Tigriopus californicus, 1089 nucleotides. RefSeq lists it as uncharacterized. Lineage: Eukaryota; Metazoa; Arthropoda; Copepoda; Harpacticoida; Harpacticidae. The record is from RefSeq and is a predicted model, not a curated record. The transcript has 3 exons.
CACCUCAUUCACGAUCGAUCGGAAGUGUUUUGACGUGAUAAAGGCAUAUUCGAGUACAUAGGCAUCACUCACCGCUUUGGCAAAUUUCAAAGGAAUCAGCAAACUUAACCUCAUGUUCUAAAAGCGUAUCGCGACUCGAGAGACCAUACAAAGGUAUCACUAGUGUGGCUUGACGUGAACUGGGCCUUUGAUCACAGCAAAAACGCGGAUCAGUUUUCAAAAUUCCUUUCACACCUCGUCGAUGAUUAAAGGUCCCCUCUUCUCCUCGAAUACCCUGUUCAUGGUGUUAUAGUACUAUGUGUAAUACGGAUCAUGUUGCUGCUUGGAAGGAGAACUUGAUUCUGGUUGGAAAAUGAUUCUGAGAAUUCGUCUAAACUUAUCGAGUCGGUCGGCCAGUCGGCCGGUAAGGUGAUGGGUGGGUGCAUCAUCAUCAUCAUCCAUUGGUGGGUAGCCCGAUUUCUGAGGCCAGUGGGACUCUUGCAUGAUUUCGCGCCGUCCAGCCAGCCAUCCAUGGUGGGUUAAUUCAACUAACUUCUGCUUUUGCCAUCGUACCUCUCUCUCUCUCUCUCUCUGUCUACCUGAAACAUCCGCUUGGGCUUCGCUCCCUUCCAUUCUACUUCAGCACAAGAGGCUCUCCGUCAUCGCUCUCUCGAUCCGAUCUGGGAACCCAUCCCUCCCCACUACUCACAUUUGUGUCGGAGUGGUCCGUAUCGCAAAUAGUAAUACCUCGGCUACCUACAGCUAUACCCCAGAGCCCUUUUGGUAUUGUUUAUGACACGGACCCGACUCAAUUGCACUGUCGACUAGUGGAGCUGGCAAGGGACACAUCUCUUGUGUAUAUUGUGUAUAUUCUGCUCAAGCGCCAUUCUAAAGCUGUGGCUUCCAACCAUAAAUGAAUUUCGGUGUUAUGCAACAUUGCACGAGGUAGAAUGGAGCUUCUCAUAUUUGUAGAUGAAUCGAAAAGGGGCAACUAUUCAAAAUGACGAAUGCCAUUAAAUGUGAUUGAAUAUGAUUUAGCCCUAUCAAACUUGAAUUUGAAUGGAAUGUGCAUGAUGCACAUUGAAGCAACACAUAAGAAGUCCUUCCCGA